Ornithorhynchus anatinus (platypus) is the source of this 380-nucleotide long non-coding RNA. RefSeq lists it as uncharacterized. The transcript has 2 exons. NCBI's taxonomy places the organism in Eukaryota, Metazoa, Chordata, Mammalia, Monotremata, Ornithorhynchidae. The record is from RefSeq and is a predicted model, not a curated record.
CAGCCCUAAUUACGAUGAAUUCGGCAACACAUCAAGCCUGGCAGUUAAUUGGCAAUGCUAGUCAAUGCUGGAUAUUGGCUGAAAGCUAGAAGUCAACUGCCGCAGACAGACAUAGGUGGUAUACUGCAAUUGCAAAAGAAGAGACUUUUUGGAGCAAAAGCUUUGUAAGGAUCAUGAGACAGGAGGCAGAGACAAAUACAACACCAGGCUCUGCAAACAGCAAAGAUGACAGUAAGGACAGUUUUUGUGGAUAAACAAAUGGCACAGUUGGAACUGUGGGUGGCACAUUGACCUUUUCCACUGCACAAACCCCCAUAAAUGAAUUUCACCACCUUCUUCUUUGAGCCCAAAGAAUAACUGAAUAUAUAUAUAUGCUUAUA